UACACACGUGCUACAAUGGGUGGUACAAAGAGAUGCCAACUCGCGAGAGCGCGCCAAUCUCAGAAAGCCAUCCUCCAGUUCGGAUUGGAGUCUGCAACUCGACUCCAUGAAGUUGGAAUCGCUAGUAAUCGCGGAUCAGCACGCCGCGGUGAAUACGUUCCCGGGCCUU
Molecule: ribosomal RNA, 169 nt
Filed under: uncultured Smithella sp.
Lineage: Bacteria; Pseudomonadati; Thermodesulfobacteriota; Syntrophia; Syntrophales; Smithellaceae
Description: partial 16S ribosomal RNA
Rfam family: Bacterial small subunit ribosomal RNA
Source: RNAcentral